Mauremys mutica (yellowpond turtle) is the source of this 1256-nucleotide long non-coding RNA. RefSeq lists it as uncharacterized. The record is from RefSeq and is a predicted model, not a curated record. Lineage: Eukaryota; Metazoa; Chordata; Testudines; Geoemydidae. The transcript is spliced from 4 exons.
ACAGCCUGAUGCCUGGGACUGAGCCAGCCUGGCCCUGCCCUUUGCCACCUCAGGCGUUGCUAGGAGACGGUGGCAUGUUCAGGCUCCAGGGAGGAGUGACUAAGGCCUGGCACCUGGUUCCCAGGCUACCACUGCCCCUCCCUGUAACGAGCCCCCCAGAGCCUGCUGCUUGGAUCUCCCCUUUCCCCAGGAUCCCAACCCAUAGCUGUGAUCCCCAAUACAUCUCAGCAUCUUCUCUCCCCCUGCAGCACCCAACCCUAACCCAGCCCCUCAGCACCUCUCCUGACCCCCCACUGCAUCCUGAUCACUCCCAAAUCCAGCUCAGCAUCUUCCUUCCUCGACACACGGUUUCCCAUCCCCAGUCACUGAGCAACAGCCCUCCAAGCCCAGAGGCUGCUGAUAGAGAACAGCAUUUCCAAAACCUCGGGAGUUGCAGCCCGGGAGUCACCGAGAGCUAUAACCCCCCAAAAAAGCCACCCCAAGCCCACACACCACCGUAACUCAUAGCCCCAAAGCCAGAAAGCCUGUAGUCCCCACAGAAAACCACUCUAAAAUUUAGCCUUCCUAUUCCAGAAACCAUUGAGAACCACCACCCCUUCAAUGCCCCCAAACGACUGAUAGGGCUCAGUGCUCUCCCAAAAGAAGCCUGAAACCCCAACCAGUAAUCACUGUUAGUCAUGACCCCCUCAAGACCCACAUUACCACCCUAAACCCCAACAUCAUUCUUAGCACAUGCCGGCCUUCCCUUUUAAUUUUCCCAGAAUAUUGACUAUCCUCUCUAUCGCCAUCCUUUGUGUAUUUCAAAGGGAACAAAAAUGUAUGGGCAUGCUUUUUUAUUUAUUAUUAUUUAUAUUGCAGUGGGAUCUAGGAACUCCUGUCAUGGACAAAGACCCUAUUGUGCUGUGCAAACGCAGAACCAAAAGAUGGUGUUUUUCUUCUCAACCCACCCAAGCCCUAAAAUGUGCUCGACUUUGUGAAGAGUGGCAAAAAUCAAAAUGAGGGACAGAGCAAAAAUAGUACAAGAGGAAUUUUAAGGAUGGAUUCUGCUUGGAUUUAGUUCCUGGCUUUGCUGGGCCUGCGUACAGCGAUCCUGUCUAGUGGAGGAGUUCUCAAACUGGUCUUUGAAGCUGCUUAUUUUACUUUGUAUGGCAUCUCCGUCUGCAAAGAUGUUAUUUAUCACGGACAGCAAACUUUUACUGGAAGCUUUGAGAAAGAAAGGACUCAACAUACUUUAUGGUUAUAUGUGGGAACCUGAG